This 329-nucleotide signal recognition particle RNA is filed under the name Pongo abelii (Sumatran orangutan). Its description in RNAcentral is "Metazoan signal recognition particle RNA (ENSPPYG00000038007.1)". It matches the Rfam family "Metazoan signal recognition particle RNA". Rfam says of the family: The signal recognition particle (SRP) is a universally conserved ribonucleoprotein. It is involved in the co-translational targeting of proteins to membranes. Lineage: Eukaryota; Metazoa; Chordata; Mammalia; Primates; Hominidae. The record is from Rfam by way of RNAcentral.
GCCGGGCGUGGUGGCGGGUGCCUGUAGUCCAAGCUACUCGGGAGGCUGAGGCAGGAGAAUGGCGUGAACCCGGGAGGCGGAGCUUGCAGUGAGCCGAGAUCGCGCCACUGCACUCCAGCCUGGGCAACUAAGCAAGACUCCGUCUCAAAAAAAAAAAGAAAUUUGGGGAAAAAAGUCUUAGUUAAUGACAAACUAAUGGGGAAGCAGACACAAUUUUUUUUUUUUUUGGAGACGGAGUCUUGCUCUGUCGCCCAGGCUGGAGUGCAGUGGCACGAUCUCGGCUCACUGCAAGCUCCGCCUCCCGGGUUCACGCCAUUCUCCUGGCUCAG